This is a long non-coding RNA of Syngnathus typhle (broad-nosed pipefish), 572 nucleotides long. RefSeq lists it as uncharacterized. NCBI's taxonomy places the organism in Eukaryota, Metazoa, Chordata, Actinopteri, Syngnathiformes, Syngnathidae. The transcript has 2 exons. The record is from RefSeq and is a predicted model, not a curated record.
CUUGUGUACAACAGGCUGUGACAUCGUUUGCAUGUUGUGUUGUUCUAUGUGCAUGUCUGUGUUGGCAGCGGCUCUGCCUAUUUUCCCGCUCCGCAUGUCACGUGAUUCCAUGGGGUGACGCGGCGUUCUCUGCGCAUGAGCAGGGCACUCCGGAAGAGAGCAGUUCGCGGUAUGGUGGGGUAGAAGUUUUCUAGUUAUAGUUGAAGCAAGUAAAAAAGCCGAGUUCAUGACCAAAAGGUAAGCCCUAGAUCGUUGUUGUCGUAUAAUAAGUAUAUUUGUUUGUAUUUGUUGCCAUCGUGUCAGUUCGGGUCCUUGUAUGGCACUCUGAGCGGAUUCGCGGACGAGAGACACUUUCCUGUUGCCGCCAUUCCUGUUCCUCAUUUCGAUCACUAGAGGUCUCCCCAGACCAUCCGAUUGCCCACAUUACGAUGAGUGUCAUUAAGAUAAGUAUAAUGCGGCCACUCGUAGCGUUAGAAUUCAACUAUACUCCGCAAUCAUUCCGCAAUUCUAUCAAUCUGCAAUUCUAUUAUGACCUUCAAUCCUGCUACUCAAUAAACCUGUCCAUCCCUCCA